Molecule: ribosomal RNA, 253 nt
Filed under: uncultured bacterium
Lineage: Bacteria
Description: partial 16S ribosomal RNA
Rfam family: Bacterial small subunit ribosomal RNA
Source: RNAcentral
UACGUAGGGACCAAGCGUUGUCCGGAAUCAUUGGGCGUAAAGAGCGUGUAGGCGGUUUGUUAAGUCUUGCGUGAAAUCUCGGGGCUCAACCCCGAGCGGUCGUGAGAAACUGGCAGGCUAGAGUGCGGGAGAGGAGAGUGGAAUUCCUGGUGUAGCGGUGAAAUGCGCAGAUAUCAGGAAGAACACCCGUGGCGAAGGCGGCUCUCUGGGCCUUACCUGACGCUGAGGAGCGAAAGCGUGGGGAGCGAACAGG